This 403-nucleotide ribosomal RNA is filed under the name Verrucomicrobiota bacterium. Its description in RNAcentral is "Verrucomicrobia bacterium partial 16S ribosomal RNA". It matches the Rfam family "Bacterial small subunit ribosomal RNA", at positions 355 to 776 of the family's 1533-position model. Lineage: Bacteria; Pseudomonadati; Verrucomicrobiota. The record is from RNAcentral.
UGGGGAAUAUUGCACAAUGGGCGCAAGCCUGAUGCAGCAACGCCGCGUGAACGAUGAAGGUCUUCGGAUCGUAAAGUUCUGUUGCAGGGGAAGAUAAUGACGGUACCCUGUGAGGAAGCCCCGGCUAACUACGUGCCAGCAGCCGCGGUAAUACGUAGGUGGCAAGCGUUGUCCGGAAUUAUUGGGCGUAAAGCGCGCGCAGGCGGCUACUUAAGUCCAUCUUAAAAGUGCGGGGCUUAACCCCGUGAUGGGAUGGAAACUGAGAAGCUGGAGUGUCGGAGAGGAAAGUGGAAUUCCUAGUGUAGCGGUGAAAUGCGUAGAGAUUAGGAAGAACACCGGUGGCGAAGGCGACUUUCUGGACGACAACUGACGCUUAGGCGCGAAAGCGUGGGGAGCAAACAGG